RNAcentral lists this ribosomal RNA (468 nucleotides) under uncultured bacterium. Its description in RNAcentral is "bacterial SSU rRNA". It matches the Rfam family "Bacterial small subunit ribosomal RNA", at positions 28 to 479 of the family's 1533-position model. The record is from RNAcentral.
GACGAACGCUGGCGGCGUGCCUAAUACAUGCAAGUAGAACGCUGAAGGAGGAGCUUGCUUCUCUGGAUGAGUUGCGAACGGGUGAGUAACGCGUAGGUAACCUGCCUGGUAGUGGGGGAUAACUAUUGGAAACGAUAGCUAAUACCGCAUAAUAGCAGUUGUUGCAUGACAGCUGUUUGAAAGGUGCAAUUGCACCACUACCAGAUGGACCUGCGUUGUAUUAGCUAGUUGGUGGGGUAACGGCCCACCAAGGCGACGAUACAUAGCCGACCUGAGAGGGUGAUCGGGCCACACUGGGACUGAGACACGGCCCAGACUCCUACGGGAGGCAGCAGUAGGGAAUCUUCGGCAAUGGACGGAAGUCUGACCGAGCAACGCCGCGUGAGUGAAGAAGGUUUUCGGAUCGUAAAGCUCUGUUGUAAGAGAAGAACGAGUGUGAGAGUGGAAAGUUCACGCUGUGACGGUAUC